Molecule: transfer RNA, 72 nt
Organism: Camelus ferus (Wild Bactrian camel)
Lineage: Eukaryota; Metazoa; Chordata; Mammalia; Artiodactyla; Camelidae
Rfam family: tRNA
About the family: Transfer RNA (tRNA) molecules are approximately 80 nucleotides in length. Their secondary structure includes four short double-helical elements and three loops (D, anti-codon, and T loops).
Source: Rfam
GAGGGUGGAGCUCAGCGGUAGAGGGUGUGCCUAGCAUGCACAAGGUCCUGGGUUCAAUCCCCAGGACCUGCA